RNAcentral lists this ribosomal RNA (492 nucleotides) under uncultured bacterium. Its description in RNAcentral is "partial 16S ribosomal RNA". It matches the Rfam family "Bacterial small subunit ribosomal RNA", at positions 29 to 507 of the family's 1533-position model. The record is from RNAcentral.
AGUGAACGCUGGCGGUAGGCCUAACACAUGCAAGUCGAACGGCAGCACAGUAAGAGCUUGCUCUUACGGGUGGCGAGUGGCGGACGGGUGAGGAAUACAUCGGAAUCUACUUUUUCGUGGGGGAUAACGUAGGGAAACUUACGCUAAUACCGCAUACGACCUACGGGUGAAAGCAGGGGAUCUUCUGACCUUGCGCGAUUGAAUGAGCCGAUGUCGGAUUAGCUAGUUGGCGGGGUAAAGGCCCACCAAGGCGACGAUCCGUAGCUGGUCUGAGAGGAUGAUCAGCCACACUGGAACUGAGACACGGUCCAGACUCCUACGGGAGGCAGCAGUGGGGAAUAUUGGACAAUGGGCGGAAGCCUGAUCCAGCCAUACCGCGUGGGUGAAGAAGGCGUUCGGGUUGUAAAGCCCUUUUGUUGGGAAAGAAAAGCAGCAGGUUAAUACCACGCUGUUCUGACGGUACCCAAAGAAUAAGCACCGGCUAACUUCGUG